UGUUCUAAUAAUCUUAGCUUAAGCCAUGCUUUUUCCAACCCAACGUAACCUAAUUGCCGAUCUUUUUUUUUCCACUGUACACACGCCCUAUUUCUCCUCCUUCUCUCGCCGCGCGUAAUCGCUCAUGCCUUGCAUCGUGCUCACCAUCGUGCUCAUGCCGACUCUUUUUCUCCCUAAUCUGUUCUCACCAUCGUGCUCCUCUCACCCACGCUCACGCAUCCCAUCGUCGUUCCUCUCCCUUUCUCCUCCCUAACCUGCUAUCGCCGUUGCCGCUCUUCUUACCCAAUCUCAUCCAUCCCUGUUGCUUCUCCUCUUGCCAUCGCUGCUCCUCUCACCCAUGCUCACGCAUCCCUGUGGCCGCCGCUGCCAGCCACCGCUGCCGUUGCCAGUCGCCGCUGCCAACCGUCGUCGCCGCCGCCGCCGCCGCCGGCCUCCAUUGUGCGUCUCCACCAUAAUUCCUCUGCAACACUGCCUCCACCGCUAUGAACAAUAGAGGCAAAAGAGACUAAAGGAAGCAUACGGUGGAAGUUUUGGUCUAAGAAACUUGAGGCUUUAAAGGUGUUUUCUUGUAGAAUUAUUAUGGAUAAGAGCUAGAUCUUUUUACCAAGACAAACUGAGUAUAGAAAUGGUGUUCAAAGGCAAAGGAUAAUGAAUCAGACCACUGAAAGGACAUCUUUUUCUCAAGUUCUACAAAAAUUGGUAAAUAUUCUUAUCAUGUUAUAAGUUUAUGUGCAUUUGAUUAUAGAAACUAGUAAUUAAAUAUAUUUUCGGGAAAAAAAGAAAAAGGGCAUCCUCCAACACAAGUUGAAUUAUUUCAUGCCUAUUUUAUGUGCCUAUUUUUCUCGAGUUGUUUGGUUUUGAGAAACAAAAUGUUUCUAUCCGAAUUGCAGUUCCACAAACAGUAGCUACAUGUAGCUUUUAAUUCAUUGUUUGGUUUUGAGAUUCAUUGUUCAUGUAGCUUUGAAUUAACAUUGUUUGGUUUUGAGAAACAAAAUGUUUCUAUCCGACUUGCAGUUCCACAAACAGUAGCUACAUGUAGCUUUUAAUUCAUUGUUUGGUUUUGAGAUUCAUUGAUUUUGAGAUUCAUUGUUCAAUUUGCCUGCCUCCCUGCCCUCUCCACACCAAUUAACAUUUACUUUUCUCUUUCAGUUUUUCAUAUGUGAUUUCUUAAUUAAAGCAAGUGAUACAGUGACAUUGAUUGUGAAAUCACUGAUCUAACAACACUAAAUUCGAGUUCUUACGUGCCAAUCUGCUAGUUCUAGCUUUAUAAAGACAUGAUUGAGUUAUUAUUUGAAAUCUUAAACCAUUAGUAUGAAUCUCAAUUUAUGUACUUAUUAUCUGACAAUAUCAAUUGAAACAUAGAUUUGUUGGUUUAGGUUACAAAAACUUACAGCACACAAACAAACUGAAGCAAGCUUUAUUCUCUUCAAUGGAAUUCAGAUACCUCUCUCUCUAUAUCAAAUGAUUUAUAUAUACAUGCAAAAAUCUAUGUCGCACACCUGUUAUGGCAACUAUUUUUUUUUCUUUCUUUCUUUCUUUCUUUCUUUCUGGUUCCAAUAUCUACAUAUUUAAAGCUGAGGAGGAGGAGGUUGUAUAUCAUGCCAAGAGCCAAAGCCGCUGGCUGAGAAUAUAUGGCUUUCCUCUUUGUUUGAUGAUCCAUGCAAGCCAUGGGUUUGGCUCUCACAGUCGUUUUUGGACAAAGUGGUGCCAUUAAGAUAUUCUGACCAUUUCAAUUCCUCUGGCUCACCAUUGAUGUGGAUCGGAACACCUUUGUUGGGCAGCAACUCCAGCCAUUGGAGGAUGCCACCGUCAAAAAGAACACCAGAGCUCUACAACUCAAACUCACUUCCGCAGGAAUUGCUUGCCCCCAAGUCAUGGAAGCUGGUAGGGAGAAUCAUGUUCGAGAUUGAUGAAACAACAGGUGGCUCCAUGGACAGUGUUGAUGGAUUUGGCUCAGAAUUCUCCUGCAAUAGAUUCGACGAACUUGGGGCCAAGGAGUCACUGCACAUGGUUUCCGCAACCUGAUGCGCUUCAACUGCGUGUUUUCUGGAAUUGAUUCCACUCUGCAUCAGCUUCUUCUUGAUGCAUGAGUUCCAGUAGUUCUUGAUCUCAUUAUCUGUUCUCCCUGGCAACUGGGCUGCAAUUUGAGACCACCUGAUGAUGGCGAGAAAAGAAAAAUAGUGUGAAAAAAAAAAGAUGUAUUGUGAUGAUGGUUGCAAUAGGUGACUGGGCUGCAAUAGGAGACAUGUAUUUGGAUUUUGCAUAUGAUGGUUGAAGAUGGUUGAUAGUAAAUUAGUUGGUUUUUUAUUUUAUAAGACUUAUUUUAUUUAGUUAGCAUUGGAUUCAAUACUUUUACAUUAGUAAUGCAUUUGUACUUUUGUGACGA
Molecule: long non-coding RNA, 2386 nt
Organism: Zingiber officinale
Lineage: Eukaryota; Viridiplantae; Streptophyta; Magnoliopsida; Zingiberales; Zingiberaceae
Exons: 3
Source: RefSeq, a predicted model, not a curated record